AUUGAACGCUGGCGGCAGGCCUAACACAUGCAAGUCGAACGAGUGGCGGACGGGUGAGUAAUGUCUGGGAAACUGCCUGAUGGCGGGGGAUAACUACUGGAAACGGUCGCUAAUACCGCAUACCAUCAGAUGUGCCCAUAUGGGAUUAGCUAGUAGGUGGGGUAACGGCUCACCUAGGCGACGAUCCCUAGCUGGUCUGAGAGGAUGACCAGCCACACUGGGACUGAGAAACGGUCCAGACACCUACGGGAGGCAGCAGUGGGGAAUAUUGCACAAUGGGCGCAAGACUGAUGCAGCCAUGCCGCGUGUAUGAAGAAGGCCUUCGGGUUGUAAAGUACUUUCAGCCGGGAGGCGUUACCGGCAGAAGAAGCACCGGCUAACUCCGUGCCAGCAGCCGCGGUAAUAC
This 406-nucleotide ribosomal RNA is filed under the name uncultured bacterium. Its description in RNAcentral is "partial 16S ribosomal RNA". It matches the Rfam family "Bacterial small subunit ribosomal RNA", at positions 30 to 526 of the family's 1533-position model. The record is from RNAcentral.